AACGUAGGAGACGAACGUUAUCCGGAGUUACUGGGCGUAAAGGGCGUGUAGGCGGUUUGGUAAGUCUGGCGUGAAAGCUCUCGGCUAAACCGGGAGAGGUCGUUGGAUACUGGCGAACUAGAGGAUGGUAGAGGCGUGUGGAAUUCCGGGUGUAGUGGUGAAAUGCGUAGAGAUCCGGAGGAACACCAGUGGCGAAGGCGACACGCUGGGCCAUACCUGACGCUAAAGCGCGACAGCAUGGGGAGCAAACGGG
This 253-nucleotide ribosomal RNA is filed under the name uncultured bacterium. RNAcentral describes it as "partial 16S ribosomal RNA". It matches the Rfam family "Bacterial small subunit ribosomal RNA", at positions 524 to 776 of the family's 1533-position model. The record is from RNAcentral.